This is a non-coding RNA of Aedes albopictus (Asian tiger mosquito), 72 nucleotides long. The record is from Rfam. Lineage: Eukaryota; Metazoa; Arthropoda; Insecta; Diptera; Culicidae.
GGCUCGGUAGCUUAGUUGGUAAAGCAGCUAUCUAGCAUAUAAGGAUCGUGACUUCAAAUCGCACCUGAGCUG